Molecule: ribosomal RNA, 252 nt
Filed under: uncultured bacterium
Lineage: Bacteria
Description: partial 16S ribosomal RNA
Rfam family: Bacterial small subunit ribosomal RNA
Source: RNAcentral
UACGUAGGGGGCGAGCGUUGUCCGAAGUUACUGGGCGUAAAGAGCGCGUAGGCGGGUUGGUAAGUCUGCUGUGAAAGCCCGGAGCUUAACUCCGGAGGGUCGGUGGAUACUGCCAGUCUUGAAGGUGCUAGGGAGAGAUGGAAUUACAGGUGUAGCGGUGAAAUGCGUAGAUAUCUGUAGGAACACCAGUGGCGAAGGCGGUCUCUUGGGGCAUUCUUGACGCUGAGGCGCGAAAGCUGGGGGAGCAAACGG